AUACGUAGGGUGCGAGCGUUGUCCGGAAUUAUUGGGCGUAAAGGGCUUGUAGGUGGCGUGUCGCGUCUGUCGUGAAAGGCUCCGGCUUAACUGGAGUAGUGCGGUGGGUACGGGCAUGCUUGAGUGUGGUAGGGGAGAUUGGAAUUCCUGGUGUAGCGGUGGAAUGCGCAGAUAUCAGGAGGAACACCGGUGGCGAAGGCGGAUCUCUGGGCCAUUACUGACGCUGAGGAGCGAAAGCGUGGGGAGC
This 247-nucleotide ribosomal RNA is filed under the name uncultured bacterium. RNAcentral's name for it is "partial 16S ribosomal RNA". It matches the Rfam family "Bacterial small subunit ribosomal RNA", at positions 523 to 769 of the family's 1533-position model. The record is from RNAcentral.